This 16-nucleotide ribosomal RNA is filed under the name Ficus orthoneura. Its description in RNAcentral is "partial 28S ribosomal RNA". RNAcentral also lists the same sequence under 2 other names. Lineage: Eukaryota; Viridiplantae; Streptophyta; Magnoliopsida; Rosales; Moraceae. The record is from RNAcentral.
GUCACGGGUGCCUCCA